GUGAUGACGAGGCACUACGGUGCUGAAGUGACAAAUGCCCUGCUUCCAGGAAAAGCCUCUAAGCAUCAGGUAACAUCAAAUCGUACCCCAAACCGACACAGGUGGUCAGGUAGAGAAUACCAAGGCGCUUGAGAGAACUCGGGUGAAGGAACUAGGCAAAAUGGUGCCGUAACUUCGGGAGAAGGCACGCUGAUAUGUAGGUGAAGCGACUUGCUCGUGGAGCUGAAAUCAGUCGAAGAUACCAGCUGGCUGCAACUGUUUAUUAAAAACACAGCACUGUGCAAACACGAAAGUGGACGUAUACGGUGUGACGCCUGCCCGGUGCCGGAAGGUUAAUUGAUGGGGUUAGCGGUAACGCGAAGCUCUUGAUCGAAGCCCCGGUAAACGGCGGCCGUAACUAUAACGGUCCUAAGGUAGCGAAAUUCCUUGUCGGGUAAGUUCCGACCUGCACGAAUGGCGUAAUGAUGGCCAGGCUGUCUCCACCCGAGACUCAGUGAAAUUGAACUCGCUGUGAAGAUGCAGUGUACCCGCGGCAAGACGGAAAGACCCCGUGAACCUUUACUAUAGCUUGACACUGAACAUUGAGCCUUGAUGUGUAGGAUAGGUGGGAGGCUUUGAAGUGUGGACGCCAGUCUGCAUGGAGCCGACCUUGAAAUACCACCCUUUAAUGUUUGAUGUUCUAACGUUGGCCCGUAAUCCGGGUUGCGGACAGUGUCUGGUGGGUAGUUUGACUGGGGCGGUCUCCUCCUAAAGAGUAACGGAGGAGCACGAAGGUUGGCUAAUCCUGGUCGGACAUCAGGAGGUUAGUGCAAUGGCAUAAGCCAGCUUGACUGCGAGCGUGACGGCGCGAGCAGGUGCGAAAGCAGGUCAUAGUGAUCCGGUGGUUCUGAAUGGAAGGGCCAUCGCUCAACGGAUAAAAGGUACUCCGGGGAUAACAGGCUGAUACCGCCCAAGAGUUCAUAUCGACGGCGGUGUUUGGCACCUCGAUGUCGGCUCAUCACAUCCUGGGGCUGAAGUAGGUCCCAAGGGUAUGGCUGUUCGCCAUUUAAAGUGGUACGCGAGCUGGGUUUAGAACGUCGUGAGACAGUUCGGUCCCUAUCUGCCGUGGGCGCUGGAGAACUGAGGGGGGCUGCUCCUAGUACGAGAGGACCGGAGUGGACGCAUCACUGGUGUUCGGGUUGUCAUGCCAAUGGCACUGCCCGGUAGCUAAAUGCGGAAGAGAUAAGUGCUGAAAGCAUCUAAGCACGAAACUUGCCCCGAGAUGAGUUCUCCCUGAGACUUAGAGUCUCCUGAAGGAACGUUGAAGACGACGACGUUGAUAGGCCGGGUGUGUAAGCGCAGCGAUGCGUUGAGCUAACCGGUACUAAUGAACCGUGAGGCUUAACCUUACAACGCCGAAG
This 1400-nucleotide ribosomal RNA is filed under the name Escherichia coli. RNAcentral describes it as "partial 23S ribosomal RNA". It matches the Rfam family "Bacterial large subunit ribosomal RNA", at positions 1563 to 2925 of the family's 2925-position model. Lineage: Bacteria; Pseudomonadati; Pseudomonadota; Gammaproteobacteria; Enterobacterales; Enterobacteriaceae. The record is from RNAcentral.